RNAcentral lists this non-coding RNA (45 nucleotides) under Schistosoma mansoni. Lineage: Eukaryota; Metazoa; Platyhelminthes; Trematoda; Strigeidida; Schistosomatidae. The record is from RNAcentral.
AUCCAGCUGAUGAGUCCCAAAUACAACGAAACCCGUGUCUUGGAU